Molecule: non-coding RNA, 2483 nt
Organism: Elaeis guineensis (African oil palm)
Lineage: Eukaryota; Viridiplantae; Streptophyta; Magnoliopsida; Arecales; Arecaceae
Source: RefSeq, a predicted model, not a curated record
UAUCUGGCCGCUUGACGUGACCUUCUCUCCUUUCUCCUUCCAGCUGCGUUCGACCGCCGUGAACGCAUCCUCAUCUCCUCUUUCUCGGCCACCGCGAUGCACUGCAAUCACCUUCGGUCCACCGCCGCUUUCCUCCACCGGUGUGAACCCCUCGCUUCGCCGCCCGUCGCUGCCGUUACCCACCCCCUUCUCGUCGCCGGAGAUUAACCCUAACUCGUCGUGCUUCCUUGCCCUCCCUUCCGAAUGUUCCCCUCGUAACACGCUAAACCCUACUAGUUAUCAAUCAUCUAUACGAAAUCUCAACUGUUUCACCCUCCCUCCAGCUUUUCUAAUGCGCCGGCAGGUGCCGAUCGGUUCACUUCCGAAAAAAUUAAUCUUUACCCUAAACCCUAGUUCUAAUCUCGCUACUUGCCAGCAUUCCCUUCUCUUCUUCUCAUCUGAAUCUGUUGUGAAUCCUAAUCCCUCUUCACUUUCUGCCCCAAAUCCUGAUCCUAGUUCUAGUUAUUUUCUUUCAAAAAUCCCAAUUCUUUUCCCAUUCGAUGUUAAACGGCAAGUUGGGUUGUCUUCAACCCUUUAUCCUGUAAUUUACAAGGCAUCAUCAACAAGAAACCUGGCAGUGUUUUUGAAAUGUAGCUUCACACAUCGACAGUCCGUUAGAUUUUGCUUUCAUAUGUUUUCGACUUAUUCUCGUACAUCUCCUAGGAGACCCCGUUCUCCUAAUACUUUUGCAAGAUCCAGUACGACUGAAAGAAAACCUAGGGUUCAUAAUGUGGGAAUAGAUCCAAAUAAGGUGAUUGACAUUGUUGAAAUGAUUAGAGAAGAUGCAAGUGAUUUGGAAUCAAAGUUGAAUCAGAUAAAUCUGAGGCUUUCCCAUGCUUUGGUUUCUGAGAUUCUUCAUGUUUUGAAUGAUCGUGACAUUUCGGCAUUACGUUUCUUUAGCUGGGUGUUGAAUUCUGGCCAGCAUUUUAAGCCUACUGCAGGAAUUUACGAUCAGAUUGUAGAUAAUCUUGGUCGGUUAGAUGAUUUUGAAACUAUGUUCCGAAUGUUAUGCGAACUCUCUUCAGUGGGGCAUUGUCUAAAUGAAAAGGCUUUUAGUUUUCUGACUGGCAGUUCUAUUAGCCUUAAAGAUUCCAUCAGGAAAAUCGUACAAACACUAAAUGGAGUUGGAGGGUCAUGUCAAGGAUCUGGAAUUUACUCACUGAUUAAGGUGCUCUGUGCGAUUAAUGCGUUUCAUCUUGCUAUCUUUGUAAUGGAAGAGACAUCAAGGGAGACUUCUUACUACAAUGUGCUUAUUGCAGCAAAGUGUCAGAAUGGUGAUUUCCAAGGGGCCCGAGAUUUACUUGAUGAGAUGAGAAUAUUUGGUUGUGACCCAAAUACCAAAUCUUAUAAUUAUCUACUAGGAAGCCUGUUUAAGAACAAGAGAGUUGUUGAGGCUUGUGAGUUGCUUGAAACAAUGGAAGACUUGGGUUGCCUUCCAGACAUGGUUACUUUCGAGGUGGUCAUAAUUCAUGCGUGUAAGGCCAAUAGGAUGGAUCUUGCAAUUGAGUUCCUUAACCAGAUUUUGUCCAGAGGGAUUAAGCCAAGGAUAGCGGUGCAUGCAGCGUUCAUCAAGGGAUACUUUUGGUCUGGGCGAAUGGAAGAUGCAUAUAAGUAUGUGGUUGAUAUGAAUGUGAAGGAUAAGUGCUCGAGCAAUAUGAAUUACAGCUUACUUGCCAGCCUUUUACAUGUAUCAGGGAGGGUGGUAGAAGCAGGCAGGGUUCUUCAUGAGAUGAUGGAGAAGGGACUGAAACCCAAUUUCCCUGUUUAUGUGAGAGUAGUGAAAGAUUUACACAAAAUGACUAGGGGAGAUUUGGCUUCAGAAUUGAAAUCUCUAUUUCUAAAGUUUACCUUAAGCACAGAUGCGGGAUGAUGUUUCUUGACAAUUUACAUCUGGAGUUUGUAUGGAUUCAGACAAUUCCAUUCUGAAGUAUAAAUAUGACAUUUAAUUAUUGCUCUAUGGUUUUUAAGGCUGCCAUGAAUGUAAGCAACAAAGAGGUGUGUAUAACGAUGAGGAGGCAGCUGCUCAUGCCUAUGAUCUGGCUGCUCUAAAGUAUUUGGGGUCAGGAACUGUUCUUAACUUUCCUGAAUUUCUUAAGUGAAUUUUCCAAAUGUAGGAAAUCACUUAUCUAAAUGAGUGCCAGGAGAUGCAAAGCAUGUCCAAGAAUGAUUAUGUAGCUUAUAUUCGACGUAAUAGCAAUGGAUUUACAAGAGGAGCAUCAAAAUAUCGUGGAGUCGCUAGGCACCACUCCAGCAGGAGAUGGGAAGCUAGAAUUCAUGAUGCCCAUGACAACAAAAACCUUUUUCUUGGGACUUUUGAGACUCAAGAGGAGGCUGCAAAAGCUUAUGAUCUUGCUGUAAUAAAUUAUAGAGGUUCUGAUGCUCUAACCAACUUCCCCAUCAGCAACUAUCUUAGCGAACAUCCAACAUCAUCACAGCAAUUGCCA